This 350-nucleotide ribosomal RNA is filed under the name uncultured bacterium. Its description in RNAcentral is "bacterial SSU rRNA". It matches the Rfam family "Bacterial small subunit ribosomal RNA", at positions 430 to 793 of the family's 1533-position model. The record is from RNAcentral.
GCUCUUUCGCCUGUGAAGAUAAUGACGGUAGCAGGUAAACGAAACCCCGGACUAACUCCGUGCCAGCAGCCGCGGUAAUACGGGAGGGGUUAGCGUUGUUCGGAAUUACGUGGGACGUAAAGCGCACGUAGGCGGAUACGGAAAGUUGGGGUGAAAUCCCGGGGCUCAACCCCGGAACGGCCUCCAAACUAAUCGGUCUAGAGUUCGAGAGAGGUGAGUGGAAUUCCGAGUGUAGAGGUGAAAUUCGUAGAUAUUCGGAGGAACACCAGUGGCGAAGGCGGCUCACUGGCUCGAUACUGACGCUGAGGUGCGAAAGUGUGGGGAGCAAACAGGAUUAGAUACCCUGGUAG